AGUUCUCGCGAGACUGGAGACCAGGAAGACGCCUGCAGAGCCGGGCUGCUGGUGCAGCAGAGGCUGAGGCAUCAGGUGCAGCUGCAUCCGGAUCUCCUGCCUUGGAGCGUACUCCUUGUCUCUAAGUCGGGAGGCAGGACGUGGUCAGGCCGGGGCUGUGGAGGUGCGCUGUGUCCCCUGAGGCCUAGAGGAUUCGGGCUGCGGCCCGUCGGAACCAGUCAGGGAGGCGCCCACACUCCUGACAGGAUAAGAUGGCGGCGAUGGCGCCUGGAGGUAGUGGCAGUGGUGGCGGCGUGAAUCCAUUUCUCAGUGAUUCGGAUGAGGACGAUGACGAGGUAGCUGCAACAGAGGAACGGCGGGCAGUACUUCGGCUGGGCGCCGGAAGUGGCCUAGAUCCUGGCUCUGCGGGCUCGCUGUCGCCACAGGAUCCCGUGGCCUUAGGAAGCAGUGCGCGGCCAGGGCUCCCUGGGGAGGCGUCGGCGGCUGCAGUGGCCCUGGGGGGCACCGGGGAGACCCCGGCCCGAUUAUCAAUUGAUGCGAUCGCUGCUCAGCUGUUGCGCGAUCAAUACUUGCUGACCGCCCUGGAGCUGCAUACCGAGCUGUUAGAGAGUGGCCGGGAGCUGCCUCGGCUGCGCGACUACUUCUCCAAUCCAGGCAACUUCGAGAGGCAAAGUGGAACCCCGCCGGGGAUGGGGGCGCCAGGGGUCCCUGGAGCAGCCGGCGUUGGGGGCGCUGGAGGUCGGGAACCGAGUACAGCGUCGGGCGGGGGACAGCUCAAUCGAGCUGGGAGCAUUAGUACCCUUGAUUCUUUAGACUUUGCAAGAUAUUCAGAUGAUGGUAACAGGGAAACAGAUGAAAAAGUGGCAGUCCUGGAGUUUGAACUACGGAAAGCCAAGGAGACCAUUCAGGCCCUCCGAGCCAACCUGACAAAGGCCGCAGAACAUGAAGUUCCUUUACAGGAACGAAAAAAUUACAAAUCAAGUCCUGAAAUUCAGGAGCCAAUCAAACCUCUUGAAAAGAGAGCUCUAAACUUCUUAGUCAAUGAAUUUUUAUUGAAGAAUAACUAUAAGCUUACAUCAAUAACCUUUUCAGAUGAAAACGAUGAUCAGGAUUUUGAAUUAUGGGAUGAUGUAGGAUUAAACAUUCCAAAACCUCCAGACUUAUUGCAACUCUACCGGGAUUUUGGAAAUCAUCAAGUAACUGGAAAAGAUCUUGUAGAUGUGGCCAGUGGAGUAGAAGAAGAUGAAUUAGAGGCCCUUACACCAAUUAUAAGCAACCUUCCUCCAACUCUUGAAACUCCCCAGCCUGCAGAGAACUCCAUGUUAGUACAGAAAUUAGAAGAUAAAAUUAGUUUGUUAAAUAGUGAGAAAUGGUCAUUGAUGGAGCAAAUCAGAAGACUUAAAAGUGAAAUGGACUUCCUCAAAAAUGAACACUUUGCCAUCCCAGCAGUUUGUGACUCUGUUCAGCCUCCUUUGGAUCAGUUGCCCCACAAAGACUCUGAGGACAGUGGACAGCAUCCAGAUGUAAAUAGUUCAGACAAGGGAAAAAACACAGACAUCCAUCUUUCAAUAUCAGAUGAAGCUGAUUCCACUAUUCCUAAAGAGAAUUCCCCAAAUUCAUUCCCCAGGAGAGAAAGAGAAGGAAUGCCACCUUCUUCUCUAUCAAGUAAAAAGACAGUUCAUUUUGAUAAACCUAAUAGGAAAUUGUCUCCUGCAUUCCAUCAAGCACUACUCUCUUUUUGUCGAAUGUCAGCAGAUAGUCGUUUAGGAUACGAGGUGUCUCGUAUUGCAGACAGUGAAAAAAGCGUUAUGUUAAUGCUGGGACGCUGCCUGCCACACAUUGUUCCCAAUGUGCUAUUGGCAAAGAGAGAGAGAAUGGUUUUACACCUCUGUCAGGAGUUGAUCCCCCUCAUAUUGUGUACAGCAUGUCUACAUCCUGAGCCUAAAGAGCGAGAUCAGCUUCUCCACAUACUUUUCAAUUUGAUCAAGAGGCCAGAUGAUGAGCAAAGGCAAAUGAUACUGACAGGUUGUGUGGCAUUUGCGCGUCAUGUUGGACCAACACGUGUAGAAGCUGAACUUUUACCACAGUGUUGGGAACAGGCAUCCAAUACAUUAAUGAAUUAUGUCACCUUUUCAUAUGGGAAUAUGAGAACAAAUAUACUCCUUUUCCAGUCAAAGAAAGAUUUAUAUUCUAUGAAGAAGACAUAUGGGAACAAAACCCAAUUAAUCACAAAUACCCAGAAAGACGACUGCUUGUGGCAGAAUCCUGUGGAGCACUGGCACCUUACCUUCCUAAAGAAAUCCGUAGCUCCUUGGUUCUUUCAAUGUUGCAACAAAUGUUAAUGGAAGAUAAGGCAGAUUUGGUAAGAGAAGCUGUUAUCAAAAGCCUUGGUAUCAUUAUGGGAUACAUUGAUGAUCCAGACAAAUAUCAUCAGGGUUUUGAAUUGUUGCUGUCAGCCUUGGGUGAUCCCUCAGAAAGAGUAGUUAGUGCUACACAUCAAGUAUUUUUACCAGCUUACGCUGCGUGGACUACAGAACUUGGAAAUUUACAGUCUCAUCUUAUACUUACACUACUGAACAAGAUUGAAAAACUUCUCAGGGAAGGAGAACAUGGACUGGAUGAACACAAACUCCACAUGUAUCUUUCUGCCUUGCAGUCCUUGAUCCCAUCUCUCUUUGCAUUAGUGCUACAGAAUGCACCUUUCUCCAGCAAAGCCAAGCUUCAUGGUGAAGUGCCACAGAUAGAAGUGACUAGGUUUCCUCGGCCUAUGUCGCCUCUUCAAGAUGUGUCCACUAUUAUCGGAAGUCGUGAGCAAUUGGCAGUGCUGCUGCAACUUUAUGACUACCAGCUAGAACAAGAGGGUACAACAGGCUGGGAGAGUUUACUGUGGGUUGUCAAUCAAUUGUUGCCACAACUUAUAGAAAUAGUUGGCAAAAUUAAUGUUACUUCAACUGCCUGUGUCCAUGAAUUCUCCAGAUUUUUCUGGCGCCUUUGCCGGACAUUUGGCAAAAUUUUUACAAACACUAAGGUAAAACCUCAGUUCCAGGAGAUUUUAAGACUAUCUGAAGAAAACAUUGAUUCCUCAGCAGGAAAUGGGGUCCUCACUAAAGCUACAGUCCCCAUUUAUGCAACAGGAGUCCUUACGUGUUAUAUUCAGGAAGAAGACCGAAAACUGUUAGUUGGAUUCUUAGAAGAUGUAAUGACGCUGCUUUCAUUAUCUCAUGCUCCUCUUGAUAGCCUGAAGGCUUCUUUUGUGGAAUUGGGUGCAAACCCAGCCUACCAUGAGUUACUAUUAACUGUUUUGUGGUAUGGUGUUGUCCAUACUUCAGCACUCGUGAGGUGUACUGCUGCUAGAAUGUUUGAGCUGUUGGUGAAGGGGGUGAAUGAAACUCUGGUAGCUCAGAGGGUUGUUCCUGCUCUCAUUACUCUCUCCAGUGACCCUGAAAUCUGACUCUUCGAGGCAUGAGUGAAGCGUUAGUUGACAAGCGGGUUGCUCCGGCCCUUGUUACCUUGUCCAGUGAUCCUGAAUUCUCUGUCAGGAUUGCCACAAUUCCAGCCUUUGGCACUAUUAUGGAAACAGUAAUUCAAAGAGAGUUGCUGGAAAGAGUGAAAAUGCAGUUGGCUUCUUUCCUGGAAGAUCCUCAGUAUCAAGACCAACAUUCUUUGCAUACAGAGAUCAUAAAAACAUUUGGUAGAGUUGGCCCUAACGCAGAACCCAGGUUCCGAGAUGAGUGUCAGUUUUAGAAUUAGCCUGUCUAAGUCAGGCAUGGUGCCACGUGUCUAUAGUCCCACCUACUCAGAAGCUGAGGUGGGAGGAUCACUUGAGGCCAGGAGUUCAACACCAGCCUGAGCAACACAGCAAGAUAAGUCCCUACAAAAGAUGUUUAAAAAUUAGCUAGGCAUGGUGGCACGUAUCUGUAGUCCAUCAACUCGGGAGGCCAAGGCAGGAAGAUCACUUGAGUCCAAGUGUUUGAGGCUGUGGUGCACUAUGAUUGCACCUGUGAAUAGUCAUUGCAUUCCAGCCCAAGCAACAGAGCAAGACCCCAUCUCUUAAUAAAAAAGAAAGAAUGAUAUCCAUCUGGGUUAUUAUUAAAUCAUCUCCUGGUCCUUCAUCUCCUACUGCUUUUAACCAUCUGUCUACAUCUGAGGGGUUAACUGUUAAGUGAAUUAAUUAAUACAUAUGUGGUACCCCAGGACAAUAUGUGUGUAGUGAAAUCUGAAUUCUAUAGUAAAGUUCUGUCUGUCUUCCUGAGAAUUAGGAAGAUCCUUAAUUAGAGGCUUUAACUUCCUUGAGACUACAGUUUAAAUGAACUUCUAUAGAUUUCUUCUAGUCAAGCAAUUUUAAGGGGAUAUUAUGCAGUGUGAUUGUUGCAUUUCUGAGAAAAACCUUGUAAAAAGGUCAGAGACUCAGGAGAAGAUGAAAUAAAGGAACCAUAUAUGAAUAGAUAAAGUGAAAGAAUGAUAAGUUUCUGAAUGUUUGGGCAGAAAUGAACUAGUGAGUCUUUGAGAGAGACUUAGAGUCACUAUUUUGUUGAGGCCUCAGCGUGCCAAUUAAUGAAGCUUUCAACUGAAUGUUUGGAGUUUUUGUUUCCUAAUUUGUUCUAGAGCUCCUCAUAAAUAUACUGUUAUUAAUUUUGACAAGUCAAAAGGUCCCCUAAAAAUGAUCAUUGUUAUUCUGAGUUUUUGUGGGGUUUUACUAAGCUAAGCAUGAAAGUUGUGAUUAUUGCCCCAGCUUAUUUAGGAUGCAGGAGUUUUUCCAGUAGAAGAUUAUGACUUUAUAUACACAAACUCAGUGCAAACAAGAAAGGGGUCACUACAGUUGGUCAGCAGUUGAUGCUUAUGGGUGGCGUUUUGUGAUCCUCAACCAAGCAGAGACUAGAAAGGGGUUGUGUGAUUGGUCUUGUGAUUAACAAUUUAACAAUCACUGACCCUGAAGCCAUUUCUUCAAAGAGCCCUGGUUUUAGUGGGAAAUGGUACCCAGAAAACACAAUCUUAGGCUCUAGAGGUGCUCAUUGCUACUGAAUUGGUUUUUGUUUCUUGGACCAUUGCUUUUAUUUAGCAGUAGGUUGAAAUUUUAUGUUACUCUUUGAGGGUAUUAAACUCAUUGAAUAACUUGAAAACUCAGCCGCCAGUGCUGUUUGACAUUGGUCUUUGCUAAGAAUUUGAGAAACUAAAGCUGAUAAUAGUAUUCUGAAGGAGUGAAAUAAUAGGUUGUUGAAAAAGAAUAUACUCUUUUGAUUUCAUAGCAAUGGUAAUAUUUUAUUUUUAUGGAGAAACUUAACUGCAAGUAUAAAUAAUACAAGAGGUAUGUUGUUUAUAAUUAUUUGGGCUUCAUUUUUCAAACUGGGAAACUGAAUUACAGUGAGGCCAAAUAAUCUAUAUACAUCCUCAUAAUUAGGUAAUAGUGACAGUACUAAAAUUUGUUUCCCCCAAAUGCCAGAUCACUUUUUAUUUUGAAAAACUACUUUCUUCCCUAGUUAAGAAAAAGCAAGUAUAAGAUAUGGGUAAUCUUUUGAAGUCAUUCAGAAUUAAAAUGAAAUUUCAUAAAUUAAAGUGAUAAAUUAUUGUUAAAGUGUGUCAGGGUUUUGUAUGCAUGUUUUGGGUAAAAAUUUAACCCUUUUUUUUCUGUUUUCAGUUGUUAUACCACAUUUGCAUAAGUUAGCCUUGGUGAACAACUUACAGAUUGUGGAUUCUAAAAGACUGGACAUUGCUACGCAUCUUUUUGAAGCCUACAGUGCACUUUCCUGUUGUUUCAUUUCAGAGGAUUUAAUGGUUAAUCACUUUUUACCUGGUCUCAGAUGUUUACGGACUGACAUGGAACAUCUCUCUCCAGAGCAUGAGGUUAUUUUAAGUUCCAUGAUAAAAGAAUGUGAACAAAAAGUUGAAAACAAGACCGUCCAAGAGCCUCAAGGCUCAAUGUCAAUUGCUGCAAGCUUAGUGAGUGAAGAUACAAAGACCAAGUUUUUGAACAAAAUGGGCCAGUUGACAACAUCAGGUGCCAUGUUGGCCAAUGUAUUUCAGAGAAAGAAGUAGAAGCAGGAAAGAAGCCCCCAGUAAACACUAAGAUGGACCUCAAGCCGACUGGUUCCUUGUACUUGAAGUACUUGCCUUUUUUGUUUCCUCAGUUUUAUGUUCUUGCAUUAUAAUUUUAUCCUAACCUCCAAAGAUAUUUGCACUGCUUUUAAUUACUGCUGUAUAUUUGUUGAUUUUGGAGUUACAACUGUGGUGAUAGAAAAUUGAGUUGAUGGUCUGUACCAAGUCCCUUGUCUAUGUUCUUGUCUUUCAGAAUAAUUUUUAUAUAAAUAUAUAUAUAGUGAAGAAGUUUUUUUUAAUUUUUGGAUGGGAUAUUCGCAAAUAUCUGUAUUAUACACUAAGCUAUUACAAUGGUACUUAAAAUAAUGUAAAUUUGAAGUCAUUGUUAUAAAAUAAUAAAGUGGAGAUUACUUAAGUAUUUAAAUUAUGAAAGAAUAAUGCAGACUUUUUAUUGUUUCUUAACUGACUAGAAAGAGCCACCAGCAUUACUCUGUGCCUUUUGGACAUCAGUUUGUGUGUUCUGUAGGAAUUGUGUGCAUUCCAUUCACACAGUAUUUCUUUAGGAUGCUGUGAUGAUUUGAAUUACAAAUCCUACAGUCAAUAGCUAAAGACGAAACCUUCAUUUCAGAACUCUCAUGAAUAUUCUUUAAGUGCUAUUUAAACCUCCCCAGCACUUAGAUGCAUAUAAUGGACUUACCUGAGGAAAGACAGCACAUAGGCAUGGGGAGAGGUAACCAAGGUGAAUUUUACAAACUGGUGUAUAGUAGAUUUAAAUGCUCAAAAAUAAAUGUAACUGAGAAGAGUUAAUAAUUGUGAGAUUUUUCCCAAAUUGAGAUACAGAAGAAAAUAUAGUUUGAAUCUGAAAUUUAACACUUAUUUAUGUAAAACACUUUAUUUAAGAUAUUUUCUAAUGAUUUUAAUUUUAGAGAGUACCUUUUCAUUCUGUGUGUUACAGAGAAGUACUGAAAAGUUAAGGACACUUGGGGGCUACUUUUUUCCCUCUAAACUAAAAAAGACAUUGGCUGAAUUAUAACUAGUUAGUUAUCACCUCGUCCCUUAAAGUCAGUGACCUCCUGUGUUUGAUGUAUAUUACAUAGAGUCUUAAGUCAGUGUACAGUUCCACUGGAAUUUGACAGUUGUCUCUACAGUCAUGCAACUCGAAGUAGAAAAGAGUGCUGGACAUAGGAAGGGGGUGCUUGGUUUGAGGGGUUAAUGUGAGGCCUUUUUGAAAAAUGAAUAUUUUGAUAAAAAGAAUUCUUGUUUUAGCACAGUUGAUGCACAUAAGUGAUUCUCAUAUUUGUUGUAUAAACUGGUUUAAUACAUUUGGAACAUAGUUGGAUUACAUUCAUUUCCUGGGAAAGCUAGCUUACCAUACAUUCAAGUUUAUAAAACAAUUUGCCAUAGGCAAAGCCAUUUAAAAAGUUCAUUCUGAAAUUAUUUCAUUUACCUACAGUGAAAUAAUUGUGAACUAAGUAGUCUUUCUGAAAACUGUUGGGUUCUAGGCAUUCCUGAGAAAUUGAAAGUGGCUACCUUUCAUGUCAAAAAUGUUGAUCUAUUAUAAAUAAAAUGUUUUUGCAUAUGUUUUUGAUUUGGUUUGGGCUAUGCAUUUUACUUUCGUUUUGAAACACUAUACUUUCUAUUAAGCAAAAAAAUGAGAAAAGCCUAUAUUCAUGAGAAUAUACUAAUAUUUUGUAAAUAUAAUUUAUAUAAAUUUACCUAUUUUGGUUUAUUUUUACUAAAAGGGGACCAUGUUGCUAUAAAACUAAUACAUUUCAGAGGUACCUGGAAGAAAAAUGUUUAAACUCUGAUUUGCUUCAAACUAUAGUAGAAUAUGUGUAUGUUUGUUAUCAGGUGAAUGGGUAGAAUGUAUUUUUAUUGUGAACAUUUUUCUUAAUUAAUGAAUAUAUUUAUUUAAGUGCUAAUGUUUUUUUAAAGGCAAUAGUAGGCAAGAUUCACAGUGUAUUUCAAGUGAGAGUCUCUUUUCUUAAAUAUUUUAAUAUCAUUAAGAUUUCACAUUGUGGUUUUGUUUUUUGUUUGUUUGUUUGUUUUUAGUAAAAUAUGUCUUGUCUUUACAGACAAGACAGACACUAAUCAUUGAGACUGAGAUUUGGACUGAGUCCAAAAUAGGGCAUAAAACUCCCAUACUCAUUCCUUUUAAACAGAAGUAAACUUACGGUACAAGUUUUUAAGUGUUCAACUUAAUGAAAAACUAAGUUUGCAAAGUAAUGAAAAGCUAAUUUGAAAUUAUACCUGUGUUUCCAGAGUAAUCCAGAGAUUAAAUUUUUUCAGAAAUCCAGAAGUGCCAUAAUUACUAAUUUAGCUGAAUUCUUCCAAGAACAGUGCUUGAAUGAUGGCAGUAUCUAUCUCUAUACAUAGGUGUCUAUGACCUUCAUUGGUUUGCAUUAUUCACCCCUUUAGAGAGAUUAUUUUGCUAAACAUCAAAUUGAUUUUCAACCUGAACGAAAUUGUGAGUAAUUUAAGUCAUGCCAUCCUCAUUAUCCAUAGCUUUUAGGAUAUGUCACUACUAUAGGAUAUGUCACUACUAUACACUAUAAUUCUAAUGGGGGUCUCAAGUCAAGGUGCUAUCACAUUCUUGUUUUUAAAAAGUUGGCUCAAAUAGUCUCUCUUAAAAUUUAGAGAGGUGAGAUCAGGAUGUAUUGAAUUGUCUUUUCAUCAUCCCAUUUUUCAAGACAACCUAUUUUGGACCAUUAUUUGAACUCCAAGGAUGUAACUUUCUGUAGUUACUACCCUGCUGAUCUUUGAACUGCAGUAGCUAACUACAGCUAACAUUCUGUGCUGGUUAUAUUUUCUUAACUAUUCUUUGUGUAAAGAUUGUACUAAUUUUUUCAGUUCAUUAAAGAAAGUUACACUUUAGCUCUUCAAUGUUACACUUAAAGAGCUUUGGACUGUGCGCUGUGGCUCACGCCUGUAAUCUCAGCACUUUGGGAGGCCAAGGUGACGAAUCACUUGAGGUCAGUAGUUCAAGACCAGCCUGGCCAACGUGGUGAAACCCCGCCUCUAAAAAUACAAAAAUUAGCCAGGCGUGGUGACGUGGGCCUGUAAUCCCUGCUACUCGGGAGGCUGAGACAGGAGAAUCGUUUGAACCUGGGAAGCGGAGAUUGCAGUGGGCCGCUAUUGCACCACUGCACUCCAGCCUGGUCCACAGAGCAAGACUCCAUCUCAAAAACAAAAAAAAAAGCUUUGUAAGUAGCAAUUCUAAUUCAUAAUUCAUGAAAUACUCCAGAUUAGCCAGGUAACAAAAUUCAACCUUCAAGGUUGGAUGUUAAUUCUCUUACAAGAAAACUACAAAAUAAAUUUAGCCUUUUGUAUGAGUAGACAUCUAUUUCAAAGUUCUACUGUAACUUUACAGUGUGCUUAGUUUUGAUACUAUUUUUUUCAGUACAUUAAAAAGAAAUAGAGACUGGCCGGGCACGGUGGCUCAUGCCUGUAAUACCAGCACUUUGGGAGGCUGAGGCGGGAAGAUCACUUGAGGCCGGGAGUUCAAGACUAGCCUGACCAACAUGGUGAAACCGUCUCUACUAAAAAUACAAAAUUAGCCGGGUAUGGUGGCGCACACCUGUAAUCCCAGCUACUCUGGAGUCUGAGGCAGGAGAAUCACUUGAACCCAGGGAGUGGAGGUUGCAGUGAGCCAAGAUCGUGCCACUGCACUCUAGCCUGGGCGAGAGUGAGACUACAUCUCAAAAAAAAAAAAUAAUAAUAGAGACAAACUACUAAUCAAAAAUAAUGUAUCAGGUAAGUUUCUGCAUAUUGGUAAAAAAAUUGAAUUUUAGACAAUUUUCAUACUGCGUAAGAAUGUGUUCUGUAUGCAUUUUGUGUGUGAGCCUACACUGUGAUCACAGUCUCCAAGUGGCACAUCUCAUCAUUCAUAUUUUCUCUUCAGAACCAAGUACAGGAAACUGUUUUGAUUGUCUUUUUUGUGGUUUACUUUGCAUGUUUAAGAAAAAUCUUAAAACAUCCUAUUCUCUGUUAAGACCACACCAAUCAUAAAGUACAUAACAGUUAAUAUAAACUUAAUAUUGCAUCAAAAACAAAUAUAUUUUAUUUUGAUAGUAUAUAAAUAAUAUCUUCAGUUCAGUGUUAUGAGGAAUGUAAACUGUUUGCUUUUCUCCAGAGAGGCGUCAAUAAAUCUGGGAAAUUCUGUCCCCCGCAUAUCUACAUGGAGAACUAUAUUACUAUUUUAAUUCCUUUUAUUCCAUUACAGACUAAUCCACCAUAUUUAUUUCAGUUAGAUCAUUGCAUGAAUAGAUUUCUGGAGGGACUUUAAUGUAGUAAAAUAUAUGUAGUUUAUAAACUGGUAUUUUGUGUUGUGUGUUAUGUAUAUUAAAUUCUUGGUCAGUGAUCUUUUUAGGGUGUCAUUUGUUGAUAGUAAUCUGCUUUUUAUAAUUUUAACAAACUGCUUCCCUCCUGGAAAAGUAACCCUUUCUUAAUUGUUGGCAUUUUAAACCUUAGAUAUUUUCAGGACAUGCAUCUUCAAUGAAGCUGGAAAUGUUACAGAUAAUCUCUCUAUAAAAUGUACAUUGCUGAGUAAUAUAAAUAUAAUAAUUUCUCAUUGACUUUAUGAUUUCAUAGAUGCUUUAUCUUCAUUUCUGAUCAUUACUUGACAGUUCUUUAAAUUCUUAGCUUUCUCUGUUCAUAAGCCUUCCCAUCAUGUAUUAAAUAAUGAAACUUAAAGGUGAAUACUUUCAUAAUGUAAA
This is an RNA transcript of Homo sapiens (human), 10748 nucleotides long. It is a transcript of the gene named RAB11 binding and LisH domain, coiled-coil and HEAT repeat containing, with no coding region annotated. NCBI's taxonomy places the organism in Eukaryota, Metazoa, Chordata, Mammalia, Primates, Hominidae. The transcript is spliced from 32 exons. The record is from RefSeq and is marked validated.